Molecule: long non-coding RNA, 202 nt
Filed under: Mytilus galloprovincialis (Mediterranean mussel)
Lineage: Eukaryota; Metazoa; Mollusca; Bivalvia; Mytilida; Mytilidae
Source: RNAcentral
UGGAUAUAUUGAGGGCUAUUCCAUAAAAAUUGAGGGGAGAAGGAAUGAACCCCCACCACAAUUAACCUACUAUCUUUGAAUUAUUUUGCAUUCAUCAAAUAGAUGUUAUUAUUAUAAACAGAAAAUGACCUUUUCAAAUAAAGAACUUAGUAAGCUAAUCUAUUAAUUUUAUUUGAUAUCAUGAUUUUUGUGGCAAAAGAUA